Molecule: non-coding RNA, 23 nt
Filed under: Cricetulus griseus (Chinese hamster)
Lineage: Eukaryota; Metazoa; Chordata; Mammalia; Rodentia; Cricetidae
Source: RNAcentral
AGAAGUAAAAACUUCAGCCUUGG